AGUGAACGCUGGCGGUAGGCCUAACACAUGCAAGUCGAACGGCAGCACAGUAAGAGCUUGCUCUUACGGGUGGCGAGUGGCGGACGGGUGAGGAAUACAUCGGAAUCUACUUUUUCGUGGGGGAUAACGUAGGGAAACUUACGCUAAUACCGCAUACGACCUACGGGUGAAAGCAGGGGAUCUUCGGACCUUGCGCGAUUGAAUGAGCCGAUGUCGGAUUAGCUAGUUGGCGGGGUAAAGGCCCACCAAGGCGACGAUCCGUAGCUGGUCUGAGAGGAUGAUCAGCCACACUGGAACUGUGACACGCUCCAGACUCCUAAGGGAGGCAGCAGUGGGGAAUAUUGGCCAAUGGGCGCAAGUCUGCUCCAGCCAUACCGCGUGGGUGAAGAAGGCCUUCGGGUUGUAAAGCCCUUUUGUUGGGAAAGAAAAGCAGCAGGUUAAUACCCCGCUGUUCUGACGGUACCCAAAGAAUAAGCACCGGCUAACUUCGUG
This 492-nucleotide ribosomal RNA is filed under the name uncultured bacterium. RNAcentral's name for it is "partial 16S ribosomal RNA". It matches the Rfam family "Bacterial small subunit ribosomal RNA", at positions 29 to 507 of the family's 1533-position model. The record is from RNAcentral.